GGGGGCAUAGCUCAGUUGGGAGAGCAACGGGCUGAAGUUCGGUUAUCAAUAGAAAUGCAUCUUCUGGAGGUCCCAGUUCAAUCCUGGGUGCCCCCA
Non-coding RNA from Armillaria fumosa, 96 nucleotides. Lineage: Eukaryota; Fungi; Basidiomycota; Agaricomycetes; Agaricales; Physalacriaceae. The record is from the annotation of a GenBank genome assembly.